GUGGGGAAUAUUGCACAAUGGGCGCAAGCCUGAUGCAGCCAUGCCGCGUGUAUGAAGAAGGCCUUCGGGUUGUAAAGUACUUUCAGCAGUGAGGAAGGAAGUGUAGUUAAUAGCUGCAUCAUUUGACRGAGCUACAGAAGAACGCCCGGGCGAAUAWAUCG
This 161-nucleotide ribosomal RNA is filed under the name Vibrio sp. LL1001ve. RNAcentral describes it as "partial 16S ribosomal RNA". It matches the Rfam family "Bacterial small subunit ribosomal RNA", at positions 354 to 507 of the family's 1533-position model. Lineage: Bacteria; Pseudomonadati; Pseudomonadota; Gammaproteobacteria; Vibrionales; Vibrionaceae. The record is from RNAcentral.